Molecule: long non-coding RNA, 812 nt
Organism: Mauremys reevesii (Reeves's turtle)
Lineage: Eukaryota; Metazoa; Chordata; Testudines; Geoemydidae
Exons: 7
Source: RefSeq, a predicted model, not a curated record
UGGGUGGCAGCGACAGGGGGAAAUCCAAUAAAAUUGGUUUGAGAAGCCAUAUCAGAAGAUCACACACAUAGCCACUCUGCAAGAUGAGAUUGCUAUGGCAUCAGACCCACAGCUGCCAAAAUUUUCAUGGGAAGCUGAGGUGCACCAGGAGCCUUGUUCAAAGCCCACUGAAGUGAAAGGGAGUUGUUUGGAUCAGGACUCAAGGACCGCCUUACUCCAGAGGCCAAAAAGGGGCUGGAGGUGGUGUAGGAAUCAGCUACACAGAUUUUACACAUGCUACCCAGGAAGAUCUGCCAUUUUUCUGACCAGCAUGCACCACUGGAGAGCGCAAAAUGGCCAGAGCAGGGCUCAGGAUUCAGCCUUGUGACUACAGGAGAUCUACAAGCAAGGCCCUGUGUGCUCCACCCUGUUCAUGUCAAUGAGAGGGUAAAUCUGUAAAGGCAUUUCCUGGAUCUGAUCCUGAAAGAUGUGGAACACCCGCCGGUCCAACUGAAGUCAAUGGAGUCACAUGUGCUCUUGGGCACCUUGCAGGAUCAGGCACAUUUCAGCAGGAGCUGAGGAUGCUCAUAUCAGGACCAUACAGCACGAUUUAUUGCCUUUGUUGAGGUUGCUUCUGAAUCAGACCAAUACCACAGUGAUGAGUGGCAAACAUGGCUAGAUGGAUUAAAUAGCAUUGACCAGUAUAAACAACUCAUACAUCAGAGAGGUCUGCAGCACCUUCCAAAAUGGAAAGCAAACAUAGCAUAAAGACAACAGGUGUUUUCUUUAAAAUAAAGAAGAAUGAAAACAGGAGACAAACUGUUUAAUGUCAG